UUAUGUACAAAAGAAAAUCGUAUUCCGACGAUUAUCUCGGAGUUAAAAGAAGGGAAUAGGAGGAUUUCUACGAUUUCUUCAUCAUCAUCAGGUACGAUCAAUUCUCAAGAUUUAAUUCCUGCAACUGAGAAUUUAACGUUCUCAUCAUCAUCAGAGUUAAUUUAGAAUCUGAGAAUGGGAAUUUCUUCGGUUUCUUCGUCAUCAUCAGGUACGAUCGAUUCUCAAAGUCUAUUUCCUGCAAUUGAGAAUUUAACGUUAUCAUCAUCAUCAUCAACUGAAACAUCUUAAUCAGAUUGUUCUGUUAUCAUAGAUAAAGUAAUUGGUGACAUUGAUCUGUUAACACUUAUUUUGGUACGUCUACCUGUGAAAUCAUUGCUAGUAUUCAAAUCGGUAUCAAAACAAUGGUUCUCCAUCAUUUCUGACCCAAUUUUUGCAAUUAACAACUAUCGCCGACUCAAUCCUAAGACCACUGGAUUGUUCUUUGAGAAAAUGGUUCCUAGAGAAUCUAAUUACGAAGUUAUGUAUGAUUUUCUUCUUCUUGAUGGUAGUAAAUUUGAACAAGGACAUCAAGGAGUAGAAGAAGAGACAUUUAAGACUCCUAGGAAAGUUGGUGAUGAUCCUGAACCAGGUGAGUAUGGAUCGGUGAGGGAGUUUGGUGUCCGAAUUAGUCAAUCUUGUAAUGGUCUUUUAUGUUGCAAUAGACAGACUGAAUUUGAUGGGGAACCCUUUACCAGGCGAGAAUAUUUGGGUUCCAUUGAUCAAUUUUCUACUUAUAAAACCUACAUUUACAAUCCAACUACUAGAAAAUACAGAUGUCUUCCACCAUCACCUUUCAGAGAUAAUGUUCCGAAACGAGACGAUUCUCGGAUCAAGGUUUGUAGUAUCAGUUUAGCUUUUGAUCCAAUGAAGUCCGUGGACUAUAAAGUUAUCUGCAUUUGGAAAAUUGAACCCUUUUAUCAUGAUUAUUGGGAUCAGGAUGUUGAUAAUAAGUAUUAUCUUGAAAUAUACUCGUCUAAAACUAACACUUGGAGGAAGCUCAAUUCAAAUCCUUUUUAUGGGCAUGCUAUGAGUUUCAUGACAUCUGGUGUCUACUGGAAUGGUUGUUUGCACUGGAUUGGGAGUGUCAGAUAUGCAGCAAAUCCUGAGUCCUCAAUGUAUUUUGAUGUUGAACAAGAACUUGUUAAGCCGUUGCCAGCUUCGCCUAAUGUCGAUGAGUCGAAAGUUAUGUAUUUUGGAGAGUGUGGUGGUCAUUUGUAUCUUAUAGAGCUUCUUGAAUCAUGUUAUUACUCAUUACAACAUUUUGAAGAUGGAGACUGAUUAUUCUGGGUGGAAACUAACACUCAAGCUUGACUUGGAAAGUCUUAUUGCUGUAUAUCCAGGAAGAGAUAUUGCAUUUCAUGAUCUUAAAUUUCUUUGGAGAAUGAUAGUGUUCCUCGAGGAAGAUCAAACAGAAUCAUUGUCAAAGCUUGUGAUGGUCGUAACUGGGAAGGAGGUUAUAUCUUAUGAUCUUAAAGAAAUGAGUGUUACCCGAAUCCAUAAUUAUCCUGGGGAUUAUUUUUUUUUUCUCGACGCUCAAGAUGUAUUCGCAUGGGGUCAUCUUCAUCAUUACAUCGAGUCACUUGCAUGUGUUUGAUGCAGUUAAAAAUCAGAAGUUGCAAGAAUAUGAAUAUGCCUAAUCGGAGUUGCAGCUGCAACUGUUGGCUUAUUGUAGGAUUCCCUUGUGCACAUGCGGUUCGUUGCAUUAUGGCUCAUGGAGAUAAUCCUAUUGAUUACUGUGGGAGGUACUUUCCAACUCAGUUCCACCAACAGUCAUAUGGUAGACCAAUUGAUCAUGUUCCCACUGUGUCGAAAAGCCUAUGAUGGUAUCUCCUAAAUCAAUUUUGCUUAGCCCUGAUACUUUUCCACAAUGCUUAGAACUCCUAAUAAGGGUUUGGUUCCUAGCAAGUGCAGUGUGAAAACCGCCCACCACUGAAGGACCUGUACAGAGAUGCCUAACCGCAGAUACAUAUUUCCUGUUGGUGUCAUAGAUUUUUGAGUUUUAUGGUUUUGAUGUCAGGUUCAGUGAGUAGCUUUUGCUGGUGGCUGGUAAUGCAUUGCCAAACAUGAACAGAAUUUGAGUGAUUUCAAUUACAAGGAAUACCCUCAUAAUAUUUAAAUCUGAAUUUGAGAUUGUGAAUUUCAUUGCCCAAGAAUUGGAAGUGCUGUAAUGUGAUUUUCACACACAAAUAGGAAAAUGCCAUGGCUAUUGAAAAUUUCAAUGAUAAACUUGAAACAAA
Papaver somniferum (opium poppy) is the source of this 2276-nucleotide RNA transcript. RefSeq lists it as uncharacterized. The record is from RefSeq and is a predicted model, not a curated record. The transcript has 2 exons. NCBI's taxonomy places the organism in Eukaryota, Viridiplantae, Streptophyta, Magnoliopsida, Ranunculales, Papaveraceae.